RNAcentral lists this small RNA (351 nucleotides) under Pelobates cultripes (western spadefoot toad). The record is from RNAcentral. Lineage: Eukaryota; Metazoa; Chordata; Amphibia; Anura; Pelobatidae.
UGUCACUAGUCACCCCCUCCCUCUCUCUGUCACUAGUCACCCCCUCCCUCACUCUGUCACUAGAGUGAGGGGGUGACUAGUGACAGAGUGAGGGGGUGACGGAGUGAGGGGGUGACAGGUGACAGAGUGAGGGAGGGAGUGGGUGACCAGUGACAGAGGGAGGGGGUGACACAGUGACAGAGUGAGGGAGGUGGUGACUGUCACUAGUCACCACCUCCCUCACUCUGUCCCUAGUCACCCCUCCCUCUGUCACUAGUCACCCCUUCCCUCCCUAACUCUGUCACUAGUCACCACUUCCCUCCCUCACUCUGUCACCAGUCACCCCCUCCCUCAUUGUCACUAGAGUGAGGG